GGGGAAUUUUGGACAAUGGGCGAAAGCCUGAUCCAGCCAUUCCGCGUGAGUGAAGAAGGCCUUCGGGUUGUAAAGCUCUUUCGCAAGGGAAGAAAACUUACCCUCUAAUAAAGGGUGAGGUUGACGGUACCUUGAUAAGAAGCACCGGCUAACUACGUGCCAGCAGCCGCGGUAAUACGUAGGGUGCGAGCGUUAAUCGGAAUUACUGGGCGUAAAGCGUGCGCAGGCGGUUCUGAAAGUCAGAUGUGAAAUCCCCGGGCUCAACCUGGGAACUGCGUUUGAAACUCCAGAACUCGAAUAUGUCAGAGGGGGGUAGAAUUCCACGUGUAGCAGUGAAAUGCGUAGAGAUGUGGAGGAAUACCAAUGGCGAAGGCAGCCCCCUGGGAUAAUAUUGACGCUCAUGCACGAAAGCGUGGGGAGCAAAC
This 425-nucleotide ribosomal RNA is filed under the name uncultured Methylophilus sp. RNAcentral's name for it is "bacterial SSU rRNA". It matches the Rfam family "Bacterial small subunit ribosomal RNA", at positions 356 to 773 of the family's 1533-position model. Lineage: Bacteria; Pseudomonadati; Pseudomonadota; Betaproteobacteria; Nitrosomonadales; Methylophilaceae. The record is from RNAcentral.